Molecule: ribosomal RNA, 496 nt
Filed under: uncultured bacterium
Lineage: Bacteria
Description: partial 16S ribosomal RNA
Rfam family: Bacterial small subunit ribosomal RNA
Source: RNAcentral
GACGAACGCUGGCGGCGUGCCUAAUACAUGCAAGUUGAGCGCUGAAGGUUGGUACUUGUACCAACUGGAUGAGCAGCGCACGGGUGAGUAACGCGUGGGGAAUCUGCCUUUGAGCGGGGGACAACAUUUGGAAACGAAUGCUAAUACCGCAUAAAAACUUUAAACACAAGUUUUAAGUUUGAAAGAUGCAAUUGCAUCACUCAAAGAUGAUCCCGCGUUGUAUUAGCUAGUUGGUGAGGUAAAGGCUCACCAAGGCGAUGAUACAUAGCCGACCUGAGAGGGUGAUCGGCCACAUUGGAACUGAGACACGGCCCAAACUCCUACGAGAGGCAGCAGUAGGGAAUCUUCGGCAAUGGACGAAAGUCUGACCGAGCAACGCCGCGUGAGUGAAGAAGGUUUUCGGAUCGUAAAACUCUGUUGGUAGAGAAGAACGUUGGUGAGAGUGGAAAGCUCAUCAAGUGACGGUAACUACCCAGACAGGGACGGCUAACUACUU